GAACGAACGCUGGCGGCAUGCCUAACACAUGCAAGUCGAACGAGACCUUCGGGUCUAGUGGCGCACGGGUGCGUAACGCGUGGGAACCUGCCCUUAGGUUGGGAAUAACUCCCCGAAAGGGGUGCUAAUACCGGAUAAUGUCUUCGGACCAAAGAUUUAUCGCCUUUGGAUGGGCCCGCGUUGGAUUAGCUAGUUGGUAGGGUAAAAGCCUACCAAGGCGACGAUCCAUAGCUGGUCUGAGAGGAUGAUCAGCCACACUGGGACUGAGACACGGCCCAGACUCCUACGGGAGGCAGCAGUGGGGAAUAUUGGACAAUGGGCGAAAGCCUGAUCCAGCAAUGCCGCGUGAGUGAUGAAGGCCUUAGGGUUGUAAAGCUCUUUUACCCGGGAUGAUAAUGACAGUACCGGGAGAAUAAGCUCCGGCUAACUCCGUG
Molecule: ribosomal RNA, 434 nt
Filed under: uncultured bacterium
Lineage: Bacteria
Description: partial 16S ribosomal RNA
Rfam family: Bacterial small subunit ribosomal RNA
Source: RNAcentral